UGGGGAAUAUUGCGCAAUGGGGGAAACCCUGACGCAGCAACGCCGCGUGAAGGAUGAAGGUUUUCGGAUUGUAAACUUCUUUGAUGAGGGACGAACACAAUGACGGUACCUCAAAAACAAGCCACGGCUAACUACGUGCCAGCAGCCGCGGUAAUACGUAGGUGGCAAGCGUUGGCCGGAAUCAUUGGGCGUAAAGAGCGCGUAGGUGGCUUGUCAGGUGUGAUGUGAAAUUUCGGGGCUCAACUCCGAACCUGCAUCGGAAACCGGCUUGCUAGAGUCUGGAAGAGGAGAGUGGAAUUCCUGGUGUAGCGGUGAAAUGCGUAGAUAUCAGGAGGAACACCGGUAGCGAAGGCGGCUCUCUGGAACAGUACUGACGCUGAGGCGCGAAAGCUAGGGGAGCGAACAGG
Molecule: ribosomal RNA, 407 nt
Filed under: uncultured prokaryote
Description: bacterial SSU rRNA
Rfam family: Bacterial small subunit ribosomal RNA
Source: RNAcentral